GGGGAUAUAGCUCAGUUGGUAGAGCACUUGACUCAAGUGCACAAGGCCUUGGGUUCAAUUCCUGGCCCCA
This 70-nucleotide transfer RNA is filed under the name Ictidomys tridecemlineatus (thirteen-lined ground squirrel). RNAcentral's name for it is "Spermophilus tridecemlineatus (thirteen-lined ground squirrel) tRNA". It matches the Rfam family "tRNA". From Rfam's summary of the family: Transfer RNA (tRNA) molecules are approximately 80 nucleotides in length. Their secondary structure includes four short double-helical elements and three loops (D, anti-codon, and T loops). The record is from Rfam by way of RNAcentral. Lineage: Eukaryota; Metazoa; Chordata; Mammalia; Rodentia; Sciuridae.